GGAAUUUUGAUAGAUUUCCACGACUGAAAAUAUGAGAGGUUGAUAGAUGUUUCCUGAUAUUCCUGCUUUUAAAAAAAGAAGCAGAUAGACUAGUAGAAUAAAGGCUGAACAACUAAUCCAGUGUAAAUGAUUCAAAGGAACUGUGAGUUGGGCCAGUCACCUAACCUGGAGGAGGACCGGCUUCUUUAAGCACAUGUGUCUAGACUGUGACAGAAUGUGCUAAGACAUCCCACUCAGUGGAUUCAUUUCUGUGGGCAAAUGUUGUCAUCAAAUCUCUAAGGACUCUUCAGUGCCAAGCAGGACAUUGUAAAUCUUAUGGGCAUUAAUAUGACUUUCUUCCCAACUCCUUUAGAUGACUAUUUGGAAGAAUAACUUGGAAAUUGAAUGAUUGUAUAAGAAAUAUGUCUGUGAAAGAAAUUUGGAUUUGGGGAUCAAAAUGCUGAAUGGAAAUCAAAAUGUGCCAAGCACAGGACCUGCAUGGAAUACCUACUUAAUAAAAUGUUGAACAUUGGAAUGAAUGCACUUCCAAAGGCUCUCAGAAUGACAAUGCUUCACAACUUUGGCCUAUGAAAGAGUCACCUGUGAGUCUAGAAAAAUGAAGACACCAUGACUAUACACGAAUCUUCACAGGCCCCACAGUGGGCUUCAGGCUAGAUAGUGGGUACUUUGUCAAGCAGUGGGAUCUAAGUUGUCCAUUGCCACAAAGGCAGAGAAAUCAACCCCAGAAUCUCUCAGGAUUCAAUAAUGAUCACUCAGAACCUCAAGGAGCAAGGUGACGUUGAAGAGGUAUUUAAAAGGAGCUCUGUUUUCAAGUUGCUUAAUAUCUAGCUGAGAGCUUGCUGAGAACCUUGCUGGAUUUUUGUCUGAGCUCAAGUCAUGCCUGCUUCUGUCUGAUGAUUUACUAAAUUGUUCACAUGACUUGGAAGACAGAGAUGGCUGAAAGCACAUUAUAGCCCAAUGAAAGCACUGAUGGAAUUACUCCUGACCACAGUCUCUGGCACAUAAACAGUGUUCCAUGGAUGUAUACUGAAGAUGAAGAAAGAAAGAAAUGACAAGGGGAAGAUUAUGAGAUUUUGAAUAAAAAGGAGCAGGACUGAAAUCUAAUUUCUCCCAGUGAUAAAGUGAUGAGACUUAGAGUCUCAGUGUCAUCUUCUGAAAAGGGAGAAUACUUACCUAAAAUAUUUAUUAUGACAAUUAAAUGAGAUUGUAAAUGUGAAAUGUAAAAUGCAAACUGUAAGAUGCCAUGCAAAUAUUACCACUAUGAUUAUUACUAUUGUAACAAAAAGGUAGAAGCUUAUAAAUUCAGUCUACUCUACCAGUAUUACUAAUUGAAAAGAGACAAUCAGGUAAUUUCUGCUAUUUUUAGCCUAUCAGGUGGGUAUUUAGGCAAGGAAUUGAUGAAAUCCCAUUGACUGCACAUAGACAUGAUUCCCUGCCUUUCUUUCAUACAAGUUGGCAGAUACAUUUUCAUCAAAAGUGGUAGUGGUGAUUCUUAGGGAAAAGAGUGAUUCUUAGGCUCUUAAAAUAUUAAGCAGCUGUAGAAACAUGUUUGAAGCAAGGGUGAGAGAACCUGCUUCUCUAAUCUCAACUCUACCACCAGCUGUGAGAAUGUAAGCAAGUCUCUUAACACAUUGACCUCAGUUUCUUCACCUCUAGAAAAACAGAUUUAGAAAACAUCUCUGGGGUCUUCCCAGAUCUGAGAGUCUAAUUCUGGUAACUAUAUGAAAUCUCAACACUAGGAAAACUGUUAAAACCACCCCAAUGAAAGUUAGUAAAAUAUAAAUUGCAAAAUGGUAGUAUCGCUCGAAGAUAUAUUAAGGCUGAAAAGGCUACGUUUAAAAAGUAAUUAGUUGGAAAAAGGCACCAUGUGUCAAAACUAAGACUCACUAUAUCCAGAGAGUUAUUAAAACAAUGAAAAAUCACCCUCAGCAUAAAAUAGUUUACCUUCAAUAUCAUAAGGGGCUGAACAGAGAAAAAUAAAGCUAAUUAAAUUCUUAUUAAAUUCUUGUUUUCAAAACAAACUCAACAUCACAGUGAGCAACAUGUUGAAUACUACACAGAUAUUAGAUUCAAUCAAGUAUAGCCACUUACUAUGGGUAGUUGGGUAGUGGAGAUUACUGGAGCUGUCCUUGCCCUUGGAAUCCUGCAUGACAUCAUGACAUCUCAAAUGACACGGGGCCCUGGAAGCCAUAGGCAUCUGGGAAGCCAGGCAUUGCCUGACUAAAAGUCCUGGGGCUGAGCACCUCGGACAGAAACUGCCCGGUUUAGCAAAAGCCUAAAUACAAACUCCUGCUGGUCAGAGGGAAAGGGUAUCAGACUCACCUGGCCCCAACACAACAUCUCUUCUCCCUCCUGGAUGAUCAGAACUGGACAUGCUGGCAGCUCCGCGGAUCUGUCAGGUUUGAAACUCACAGCUGCUUAUUUCCUGGCAGUUGAUAAAAGCCUGGAGCAAAUAAGGCUGAGAAGAGCUCAGGCAAUGUGUGAGAACACUUGAUCUAAGCCCUCUGACAGCCUGGAGAAAUGGUGAGAAUGCUCACACAGCUUGUUAGCAUGAAGGCACAGCCCUGCCAUUUUACAUCUAGGUUUAUAAAGUGGUUACCUAUGAGUAGGAAGUAGGAAAACAAAGUGAGGCAAGCUGACUGUCAGCCUCCUUUUUUGUUGCUAUAACUGAAUAACACAGGCUAGGUAAUUUAUAAAGAAUAAAGGGCUAUUCGGCUAUGGAUCUGGAAGCCCAAGGUCAAGAGGCCACAUCUGGUGAGGGCCUUCUUGCUGGUGGGCACCCUGCAGAGUCCUGAGGUAGCAAAGCAC
Molecule: long non-coding RNA, 2808 nt
Filed under: Heterocephalus glaber (naked mole-rat)
Lineage: Eukaryota; Metazoa; Chordata; Mammalia; Rodentia; Bathyergidae
Description: lncRNA (ENSHGLG00000050848.1)
Source: RNAcentral